GAUGAAGAACGCAGCGAAAUGCGAUAAGUAAUGUGAAUUGCAGAAUUCAGUGAAUCAUCGAAUCUUUGAACGCACCUUGCGCUCCUUGGUAUUCCGAGGAGCAUGCCUGUUUGAGUGUCAUUAAAUUCUCAACCUCAUCAGUUUUGUUAUGAAGCUGUGUGAGGCUUGGAUGUGGGGGUUUGUGCAGGCUGCCUCAGUGCGGUCUGCUCCCCUGAAAUGUAUUAGCGAGUUCCAACUGGGCUCCGUCUAUUGGUGUGAUAAUUAUCUACGCCGUGGAUUGGGCUUAGACUUGCUUCUAACCGUCCGCAAGGACAAUCUUUUGACAAUUUGACCUCAAAUCAGGUAGGACUACCCGCUGAACUUUAGCAUAUCAAUAAGCGGAGGA
This 385-nucleotide unclassified non-coding RNA is filed under the name soil metagenome. RNAcentral's name for it is "partial contains 5.8S ribosomal RNA, internal transcribed spacer 2, and large subunit ribosomal RNA". The stretch from base 1 to 120 matches the Rfam family "5.8S ribosomal RNA", at positions 35 to 154 of the family's 154-position model. The record is from RNAcentral.